This is a long non-coding RNA of Carassius gibelio (silver crucian carp), 2140 nucleotides long. RefSeq lists it as uncharacterized. The record is from RefSeq and is a predicted model, not a curated record. NCBI's taxonomy places the organism in Eukaryota, Metazoa, Chordata, Actinopteri, Cypriniformes, Cyprinidae. The transcript has 3 exons.
GAACCCCUAAUAAUUAAAGCUGCAAGCAGCAUUUACCGGGGUUCAAGCACAUUAAGGCCUCUGAGGUGGUCAGAGCCAACCUGGAUGUAUGGAUGACAGUUAAACACAUCCAAAAUGGAGAACAGGCUAACAGACAGACACGCACACUGAAAGUAAAUGAUUAGACUAAUAUAUGUAUACUCUAUAAGCAUAUGCACAAACACACACACACACACACACACACAAAGACACACAAAGAUACACAUAUACAUGCACAAACAUUUUGUGGCAGAUAUAGGUAUUUGAUAAAAAGUGAUAGGUGACAAUAAGCUUAUUGCAAGUCUUCUCUUUUUUUAGAGUUUAGAUGUCAUUUUCAGAUUAAACUGUAAUCAUAAUGUGGCAAAAUUGUUAAAACUGAUACAUCUGUAUGAACAAAAUGGAAAACAUCAAUUCAAUGAGAUACAAAAUGUUAUAACAGUUAAUUUAUUAAUGUUUUGGCAUGAAUUCAUAAAAACAGUACUAGCUGAAAGAGCCCAUUAGUGGUCUUCCGCUGCCAUCUAGUGGUUAUAAAUUGCAUUUACUCAAACAACACUGUGUUUUUAAACAUAACUGUUAAAGUGUUGUUGUUGGGUUUUUUUGCCCUAUCUCUCUUAAAUGUUGCAUGCUUGUUUAGAAUGAAAUUAUGCAUUACUUUACACAGUUUUGAUAAUUUGUGGGAUUUCUGUUUGUAUUAAUAGGUCUUUGUGCCUCUGGGGUGGUCUCGGCCAACCAGGAUGUAUGGAUGACAUUUAAAUACAUCCAAAAGACAGACACACACACACUGAAAUUAAAUGAUUAAACUAGUUUUUAAGAGUUUAGAUGUCAUUCAGGUUUCACUGUAAUCACAAUGUGGCAAAAUUGUAAAAAAUGAUGUGUCUGUAUGAACAAAAUGGAAAACAUUGAUUCAAUAAGAUGUAACAUGUUAUAACAGUUAAUUUAUUAAUGUUUUGGCAUGAAUUCAUGAAUCCUUUCUACAGUACUGUUCAUUUUAACUGAAUGAGCCCAUUAGUGGUCUUCCGCUGCCAUCUAGUGGUUAUAAAUUGCAUUUACUGAAACAACACUGUGUUUCUAAACAUAACUGUUAUAGUGUUGUUAUUUUUUUAUUUUUGCCCAAUCUCUCUUAAAUUUUGCAUGCUUGUUUAGAAUGAAAUCAUGCAUUAUUUUACACAGUUUUGAUCAUUUGUGGGAUUUCUGUUUGUAUUAAUAGGCCUUUGUGUACACUAUGCAAAUAACAUAAUAUAAAAUUACUGGUUUAUAGUUGUCUAAAUGCAAUUGUUCAACAUGUUUUUGAUAAUUAUUGACCUUCAGAGUCUAGAGAAUUGUACUUCAGUGGUUUUAUUGAUUUUCAUCUUAUACCCGAUCACUAGUUUGCCAAAGUACCUUUUUAAAAUAAUCUUGAAUGUUUAAUUAACAGCUUUAUUGACAACGUUGGUCCCAGAGGCAAAGUUGUUCAGAAUGAGGAUAUUUAUCAAAUGAUAUAAAGAUUUAGUGUUUUUGAGUGAAUAUAUGAGCAUUUACAAACAAUUUGAGGCCAUUUACCAUAUAAAUCUUGUGUUUUGAGACCUUUUCUACUGUUAUAGCGCCACCUAUGGUCUGAUCUCCAUGAAACUUUGCAUGCUUGUUAAGAGUCAUCUGUUACAUGAUUUCACUGAGUUUCAUAAAGUAUUGAGUUUUCGUUAAGGUUUUAUAGGCUUUGGGGUAUGUUUGGCCACACCCCUUUUUCUAAAUUACCUCUUUACAGCUGACCAAAGGACAAAAUUCAACAUUUUUUUAAUAAUUAUUGAUCUAGAGAGUCCACAGAAUAUUACUGCAGUGGUUUGGUUCCGAUCGGACAAAAAACCUAGGACUAGUUCGCAAAAGUAGGUUUUUAACAUAUUUGUGAAUAACAAUUGAAUGAUUUGAUUGACAGCAAUGGUUCUUGAGGCAAAGUUGUGCAUUAUGAGGAGAUCUAUCAAAUGAUAUGCAUACUGUGUUGAUAUGUGAAACACCACGUGAUUACAGAGCCAUAAAACUCGUUAGCGCCAACUAGUGGCCGAUUUCUUUCAAAAUUCUUACAGACCUUAAGGUUCAUGAGUCGAACGUACCCAGCGAGUUUCGUUCCGAUCAACAUCCGUUAACCCUU